GUGUUGUAAGAAAGGAGAGAAGGUUAGCACUCCCCUUGAUAAGGAUGGAAGAGGUCCUAGUGGCCUUUACAACACAUAUACGGUUAAGGCAUUGCCACCUACUCUGUGGCAUGUAACCAUAUUUUUGA
Small nuclear RNA from Notamacropus eugenii (tammar wallaby), 128 nucleotides. NCBI's taxonomy places the organism in Eukaryota, Metazoa, Chordata, Mammalia, Diprotodontia, Macropodidae. The record is from Ensembl.